GCCAACUGCCAUAAAAACAGAAGAAGAAGAAGCACAUCGAAGGAGAAAGAACGAACAUGGAUCCCGACCGAAUGUCAACCAGCAGGUUUCGGUGAGAAAAUUGUGGUAAAAAGUCGCUUCUUACUGGAGAUCAGCUGAGCUUGUGCCACCCAUAAAGCUGCCGUCGACUUCCCUAAGACACUGCGCAUCAAGAAACCCGUGGACGUACACCUCCGACUAUCAGACGUCCAGCAGGUGUCAGCAGAGAGUCAUGAAGAGAUUCCCUCCAAGCAGCAGGAGUGGAGCUCCAGUGUGGGACAGAAGGAGCUACAGGCCACUUCCCACAUUAAAGAGGAAGAGGAGGAACUGUGGGAGCAGCUUCAAAGGUUGGAGGAGGCUAAUGAUGAAGAUGAAGCUCAGUCCUUACAGCUUCAACAUAGUCAAAGUGAGGAGAACAGAGGGGCGGAGCUUGUAAGUCAACACAUCACAGAAGCUGAUGGAGAGCAUUGUGAAGAUAUAAAGUCACAACCAGACAGCCUCUUUGCUCCACUGUCAGACAUGGACCACAUGAUGUCAGACUCUUCUGAUCACAGUGACCACAUCCAAAAAUCUUUGGAGAGGAAAAAUGACUCUAAAGGUGAUACGAGACAUCACACUAACAACAAAAACUUUGACUGCUCUGAAUGUGGGAAAUCAUUUAGAAAGAGGAGUAAUUUUACAGUACACAUGAGAAUACACACUGGAGAGAAACCUUUUACUUGCUCUGUUUGUAAGAAAAGUUUCUCCAAAAAGCAACACAUGACCACACACAUGAGAACACACACUGGAGAGAAACCUUUUCCUUGCUCUGUUUGUAAGAAGAGUUUCUCCAUGAAGCUUGACAUGACCACAUACAUGAGAACACAUACUGGAGAGAAACCUUUUACUUGAUCUGUUUGUAAGAAUAGUUUCUCCAGAAAGCAACACAUGACCAGACACAUGAGAACACACACUGGAGAGAAACAUGUUCCUUGCUCUGUUUGUAAGAAGAGUUUCUCCAGAAAGCAACACAUGACCACACACAUGAGAACACACACUGGAGAGAAACCGUUUAGUUGCACUGUGUGUGUUAAAAGGUUCAGGUUUAAGAAUCAGGUCAGUGAGCAAAAGUGUGUAACAGUCAUGGAAGCUGCAAGGAUUUAAAAACACUUAAACGGUGUUUGUGCUGAAUAUACUUAAAAAAAACCCAGCAUGUUUAAUAUGAAAUUAUAUUUUAUAUUGUAUGUAGUGCUUCUCAUCUUCUACUGUUAUAUGUAGUCCUGGAAUCACUUCUAAUGUUGUGUGCAUUUAUUGAAUAUCAUAUAUGUAGCUACUAUUUUAUUUUAUUUUCUACUUGUUAAAGAGAGGACAUCUUAUUAUUUACUCUUGGGUUUUUUUUUCACACAUUUUCUUCCAUUGCAUUUUUAUUGAUGUUAUUAUCCAAUUAAAAGUAUGAAUGAA
Molecule: RNA transcript, 1458 nt
Organism: Nerophis ophidion (straightnose pipefish)
Lineage: Eukaryota; Metazoa; Chordata; Actinopteri; Syngnathiformes; Syngnathidae
Gene name: zinc finger protein 33A-like
Exons: 3
Source: RefSeq, a predicted model, not a curated record